UACAUAGGGGGCAAGCGUUAUCCGGAAUUAUUGGGCGUAAAGGGUGCGUAGGCGGUUAUUUAAGUCUUUGGUGUAAGUGCAGUGCUUAACGCUGUGAUGCUAAAGAAACUGAAUGACUUGAGUUAGAUAGAGGCAAGUGGAAUUCCAUGUGUAGCGGUAAAAUGCGUAAAUAUAUGGAGGAACACCAGUGGCGAAGGCGGCUUGCUGGGUCUAUACUGACGCUGAGGCACGAAAGCGUGGGGAGCAAACAGG
RNAcentral lists this ribosomal RNA (252 nucleotides) under uncultured bacterium. Its description in RNAcentral is "partial 16S ribosomal RNA". It matches the Rfam family "Bacterial small subunit ribosomal RNA", at positions 524 to 776 of the family's 1533-position model. The record is from RNAcentral.